CUGGGUCGUCAUCACUGCUGUUCUCAUCAAAUGCAGGAGGCGAGCCAAAAUGACGGAGGAUGCUCAAAAACCAACCCAAGCCCAAAGAAUGAGGAAGUAUUGAAAGACGUCAUGAAUCAGAAACUGUUCAAUAGUUCACUGGUCGUUUUAUGGAAAGAAUAUGAGGUUAUCUGGAUAACAUAAUCCUGCUAGGGAUGAACCAGGAGGUAAUCUGACCUACGUCACUAUCAACCACGCUAAUUACAAUCCGAAGAAAAAGGUCAAAGUGAAGGAGGAAGCAGUGACUUAUUCUACAAUCAAGACCACAGUGAAGAUGGAGGCCAACAUUGAUCCCAGCAGCUUCUACAGCUCUGUCAGAUGAGUUUAUCACAAUGAAUGACUGGAAAUGAGACUUCUCUUAGUGUCAGCUGUGUCUGUCUUCUGUUGGCUUUGCUUUACGCUCUGGAAAAGAUAAAAUCUGCAAAGUAGAACUGGCUGCGUUUAUGGUUUUUAUCACAUUGGAUUAUAAAUUAUGUCACAUUGCUAAAGACUGUAGCUCUCAGUUUUUACUAUGAUAGAAGCUUUUUUUGCACUUUUUUGGUAAUAUAUUGUAUAUUGUAAAGGCUGGAUUUAAUCCUGUGCUGUUAUUUGUAGGACUGUGAACUGAACUUUUUCUUCUUCUUGUGCUUUUGUGUCAUAUUUACUGCUGUUAUGAUCUGCUAUAAAUGUCUUCAGAUGUUAUUGUUAUGGAAUGUUUCGCUCCUCAGGGACAAAAUAAGUGACUCACUUGAAAAUUGUUAUUAAAAUUCCGACUUGAACCUGUGAAUAUUUCAACUUUACAUUGACAUUUAAAUAAACAUUGAAUCAAAUUAAAACGAUUACAGUAGGUGUGUUUAUAGCAGUGCUGUUUCCUGUUUUAUUUCUAGCUAAG
Amphiprion ocellaris (clown anemonefish) is the source of this 910-nucleotide long non-coding RNA. Lineage: Eukaryota; Metazoa; Chordata; Actinopteri; Pomacentridae. The record is from Ensembl.